Molecule: ribosomal RNA, 538 nt
Filed under: Trigonopterus sp. 759 AR-2022a
Lineage: Eukaryota; Metazoa; Arthropoda; Insecta; Coleoptera; Curculionidae
Description: partial large subunit ribosomal RNA
Rfam family: Bacterial large subunit ribosomal RNA
Source: RNAcentral
GUCCUGUUGAUUAUAAUUUUAGGUCUAACCUGCUCAAUGAUUUAAAUUAAAUGGCCGCGGUAUAUUGACCGUGCAAAGGUAGCAUAAUCAUUAGUUUUUUAAUUAAAAGCUGGUAUGAAUGGUUUGAUGAAAAAAUUUCUGUCUCUGUAAAAAUUUAUUAGAAUUUUAUUUUUAAGUGAAAAUGCUUAAAUGAGUGUAGAAGACGAGAAGACCCUAUAGAGUUUUAUAUUGAAAAAAAAGUUUAAUUUUGAAGAAACAAAAAUUUUCUUUGAGUUGAAUAUUUUAUUGGGGUGAUAGAAAAAUUAAUUAAACUUUUUUUUUAAUUAAACAUUUAUUUAUGAGUUUUUGAUCCUUUUCUUAAGAUUAAAAGAUUAAAUUACCUUAGGGAUAACAGCGUAAUUCUUUUUAGAGUUCUUAUCGAAAAGAGGGAUUGCGACCUCGAUGUUGGAUUAAAAUUUUUUAUUGGUGAAGGAGCUAAUAAUAAUAGGUCUGUUCGACCUUUAAAAUUUUACAUGAUCUGAGUUUAAACCGGCGUAAG